UGAACGCUGGCGGCGUGCCUAAUACAUGCACGUCGAGCGAACAGACGAGGAGCUUGCUCCUUUGACGUUAGCGGCGGACGGGUGAGUAACACGUGGAUAACCUACCUAUAAGACUGGGAUAACUUCGGGAAACCGGAGCUAAUACCGGAUAACAUGUUGAACCGCAUGGUUCAACAGUGAAAGACGGUCUUGCUGUCACUUAUAGAUGGAUCCGCGCCGCAUUAGCUAGUUGGUAAGGUAACGGCUUACCAAGGCAACGAUGCGUAGCCGACCUGAGAGGGUGAUCGGCCACACUGGAACUGAGACACGGUCCAGACUCCUACGGGAGGCAGCAGUAGGGAAUCUUCCGCAAUGGGCGAAAGCCUGACGGAGCAACGCCGCGUGAGUGAAGAAGGUCUUCGGAUCGUAAAACUCUGUUAUUAGGGAAGAACAAAUGUGUAAGUAACUAUGCACGUCUUGACGGUACCUAAUCAGAAAGCCACGGCUAACUACGUG
Molecule: ribosomal RNA, 495 nt
Filed under: uncultured bacterium
Lineage: Bacteria
Description: partial 16S ribosomal RNA
Rfam family: Bacterial small subunit ribosomal RNA
Source: RNAcentral